This 5588-nucleotide long non-coding RNA is filed under the name Triticum aestivum (bread wheat). RNAcentral's name for it is "long non-coding RNA (TAES_LNC001217)". Lineage: Eukaryota; Viridiplantae; Streptophyta; Magnoliopsida; Poales; Poaceae. The record is from RNAcentral.
UUUUUUUUUGUUUUUUACUACGUUUCCCAACAAUUACAAUAAUGAUCUACGACUUUAAAUUUAUGUAAUGUUUAAGUUUCAUGGGAAGAAACAUGGAUUUUGUCGUUCAUAAAAUUUAGUUUCAUUGUUGUAACCUACGAAAAUAGAUUUAAUACACAUACAUGUGUUCCCACUGUUUACAGAUGCAUCAUAUGAUUCCGAUUGAAACAAAUUCAAAUAAAAAAAAUCACAAUUGUAGCGAAAGUAAAAUAAUUUUAUUUCAUGUUUGCCACUCAUAGCUUUUGAUAAUUAUCACAAUUGUCACUUUUGCCACAGAAUGGCGAUUGUGAUAAUUGUCAAAAACUAAGAGUGGCAAAAGUGAAAUGUCAAAAUUUAGAGUCGCAUAAAAAAAAUUGGCAAAAUCUGGAUGGCAAGAACAAAAAUUUCCCACCGUUGCGGUGGUGGGACUUCUUAUCUUCAAGGCUUUAAUUUCUGAGGACACGAGAUGAACUCUUUCCUUUAGAGUACUCAAAUGAUUGUUGAAAGUAGAUAUUUUGUUUUGAUGAGCAAGAGAGAAGAACAAAUAGGAAGCAACAAGAGUAACAGAACUAGGAUAGUUGAAUCAUUUUCCUUAUCUAUUAUAGAAGUGUUUGUUAUUUUCUGUUUUCACCGGUAAGGCACUCCACGGAACAGGUAUACGACCCCACACGAACAGGUAUAUCUCCAUGAUAUACGAACGCAAUACAGAUAAAAGUGAAAAUAGAAAUCAGUCUAUACAUCUCCAAAUAUGUGAAUCUUGGCGCAGAUCAACGACACAGAAUCCAUGUGCCCCCGCACUUGAGUACCCUAAAUCCUUGUCCCCGCGUUCACCAUUGUUUGCUAGGCUGACUGAAGAAAAACUCCUCCCACUAUACUGUCAAUGGUCAUGACUCCAACAUGGGCCAUUGAACGAAGAUCUGAUUGAGCAUACGUGAACGGUAAAAAAAACAACAAUGUUGGAGUGUAAUGUUUAACCUUAUUUAAAUUAGGGUUAAUGCUGCAUUUGAACGUUUGAACUAUCAUAGAUUAUAUAUGCGGCUUUUUGAGCAUGUGGGCUUUAACAAAAAUUUAGAGACGGAUGUACGUGGAUAGCAUUGGAUAGGUGGCUUCGGCAUCUGCGCCUACGGACUGGUUAUGUACGAGGACGGAUGCGGAAACAAAUUUAUGAGUCAACUGUAGAUGCCCUAAUAAUUUUUAUAUGUAAUUCUAGGUCCUUCUGGACCCUCCUUAUGUCCAAGAAGAAAAAAAGAAUCGUGACGUUUACCGGCAGGACUCGAUCUCGAGAGUCUCUGGCACGCAGUCGAUGAUCCAAUCCAAUGGACAGGCAUCGAUCUGCCCGGACGCGACGUGCAGUUUUAUACUUUUGCUGACUCGCUGCUGCUGUCAAACGAUUUUACCCACACUAGACCAAACAAGUUGGCCGUACUGGCACGGCAAAACUCUCGCGGUUACUGUCGUCGCAUCUAUUGCCAGCUCGUUACACGCGCCUGCACGUCUGCGCAGAGAAUAUUUUCCAGCCUCCUGCUGAAGAUACGUACGUCCGAUUAACAAGUCCCUGACCGUGGCAUAGGAAAUCUUACAGCCCUGUUGACCGCUGGUCUCGGGGCCUGAAUUGGUCGUGCAUGCCCAUCAGCACGGGAAGGUGAUCAUUACCUGGUCUCUCGGCUGCUAGGGCAGUUAAUUAGGACCUCUUCUUGUUUUGCGGGAAAUUUCUAGAAGUUUAAUCCUUUGUUUUUUUCUUCAUAGGAUUACAAUCCAUGUGUCUUUUUCUUUGAGGAAUUCGUUUGCACUAGUUUUUGCAGGGAUUUUUUUAUCUACUCAAUCUUAUGUGAAUAAUCCUAUGUAUGUCCUGCGUGCAAUCAUAUGUUUUUUCUUUCGAGGGAAUCAAAUGUUCAUAUUAAUCAUCUAGGAUUGUUUUCGCAGGUCCGCCUCGUUUCCAGUGGCCUUUUGAUGGAUCCUAACAAGGGCCGGCGAAAGCAUUUCGUUGUUAGUCAUUUGCCCACCUUUGCUCCCUCGUCGCCGGCAAACCCUAGCCACCACAACCACAACGAGAUGGGCCUCUUCUUCGGCGCCAGCGGCAGCAAGGCCAAGGACAAGUCCCCCGCCACCCCUUUCCUCCCGCCUCCGCCGGCGUUGGCGCCUCUGCCGUAUCCAGACGUGAUGCUACCGCACGACUGGCAUCUGGAUCCAGAUAGGAUCCCAAUGCCGGCGGCGCCGCGGUCGGCUCGUGCUCACGUGGAGGAGGUGCGGCACCGGCGGGCGCUGCUGACGCCGGAGCAGCGCAGCGACCCCACCUAUACAACCGACUCGCCCGACUAGGCGAGGUGGUUCGCCUUCGAGCACGAGGAGGCGAGGCGACGGAGCGUGCGUGAGGUCGACCGGAGGUCGCCGCCACCGGCGCUCGUCGUCCGCGAGGAGGACCAGGCGGCGAAGGACGCCUACCAGGCGGCCCUUGCGGCCGUCUGCCGGGAGAGCGAGGAGGACGAGCGACGUAGAGCGGAGGCGGAAGAGGAGGCCUGGUACGAGGCGGCAAUGGCGCGGGCCCUUGCCCUCUCCGCGGCGGGCGACCGCGUGGUGCCGCCAGUGGCCCCGCUGUCCCCCAUCAAGCCGGAGCCGCAGCUGGAGCCCGAGCCCGAGCCCAUCGCGCGCUUCUCCUAGAGGGGAGUGGUGCGCGAGUGGGUGCCUACGCCACCGGUUUGGCUGGGGGCGACGCCGGCGCAGGAGCAGGCGUACCUCGAGAUGUGGCGCCAGCGCCGGCUGGCAGAGGAGCGUCGUCGCGGCGAGUACGAGGAGAUGCUCGAGCGCGACCUCAAGGAGGAGGAGCGCGAGGCCGAGGAGGAGGCGCGCCAGGCCGCUGCUGCACAGGCGGCCGCACCCCCCCUCCCCCCCGCCCCGGCACUGCCUGCGCCGGCACAGCCCGACAGGACGGCGCUCUGGAACACGACGUUCGCCUGGACCAGGCCGGCGCCUACGCUCAUCGACCUCACGGACCCUGAGGACGACGACGACGACGACGCCUAGAGCAGCGCGCCGCCUCGUAGUUUAGGUUGUUUUUAUUUUCUGUAAUGCAAAUGUGGACGCGUGGACUCUCCCCGGCCUUCGUAGCCGGCUUUAAUGUUUAAUUAAUGUUGUUUCUCUUUUUUAAUAUGCAUGCGUUCAUUUUUUUGGCGCCGUUAAAAUGGGUCUCAGGCCAGUGUUGGACGCACGCGUCGACCCAAAUGCGAAAGCGGGCAUCCGUGUCCGUCUAGCCGACCCAAACGGAUAAAAAAUGACGAAAUCGCCGUCCGUUUGAGUCGGCCGUUGGAGUUGCUCUAAGUAGUUCUUAUAGCGAGCUUAAGUUACCUUAUUGUACUUGCUUUUACAUGGAGCAAACACAAACGUCCGGAAAGCGCACGCAUACAGAGGAUAGAAGAUAGCCAUUCAGAGAAGAAUGCUCCUGCCAAGUGCUGAAAGGAAGCCACCUGGAAAUCGACGAACAAAAGCACAAGUUAGCGGCAAGGUCGCAAGGAGAAACGCAGGACAUGUCAAGCGGAGGCGCAGGAGCACAAGAAGGUGGACGAGAAAACGAGCAUACCAUGCCACGCACACGCACGGCGAGGCUCAAAAUAGCGGCGGCGCCACGAACUAGUACUAGGAAACAGGUAAGGAUGAGUCACCGUAUGGCAUUCUUGACAGAAUGAACCAAACAGUGCUGAUACUAAUAACGAAAUAAAAUCUCUUGAAAAUAGUAACAAAUGUUUGCUCCGAAUCCGAGCAUACAAAAAAAUAGUACUACUAGUGUACCACAGCAGCUCAUGCAAAUGUGCGAUGCCACGUGGGAGGACCGGACCGGAGGACGCAUCAACAGAUGCUUGCUUCGUUCUGCCGAUCGAGCCGGACCGGACCGAAAGGCUCGGCGCGUCGGCAUCACGAUUUGGAAGACAGUACGUGUCCGUUCCACGCUAGGCCGAAGGAAGGAACGCGCUGGAGAAAAGGGACGAGCAGGCCGCCAGUAGUUCGCGGAAAGCGACCCGGGAGAUUUCCAGAGUGGAGCUGUCAGCACAAGACGGUGCUCCACUUGCCGCUCCGCUCCGCUUGGGUGGGUGUCCGUACGGGACGGAAGGGAAGGAGUGGCAUCCAGCUCGUUUGUGAUUUGUUGGAUGAAUCAUCAUGGGACCAUGCGAUGGGAGGAGCAUAGCAUAGUACCGACUGCCGUGCAGCUCUACGACGCGGCGGCACCGAAGCACGGUAGGCAGGCCCAUGCGCCACGGGACCAAAACGUGAGAUGAGAGUGAGACAUGAGGAGGGGUUGUUCUUGUACUGUGAGGAACGAGUUAUGUUUACGUUUACCAACCACGGGACUAAUAUAACUUUUAUUAUACUUUCUCCGGUUGGAAUUACUUGUCGUAAAAAUGAUAGAAAUGGAUAGAUCUAGAAAUAAAAUAUGUUCAAAUACAUUCAUGCCUACGUCAAGUAAUUUCAGACGGUGAGAGUACUUGGGAUGCUUUGUAGUCAGUGAACUUGUACAUAGUCCCGGAUCUUCUCAGAAAAGAAGGCAAAUCCAAUAGGUUCCAAAGCUAGCAAUAACAUAAGUAUUACAGCAUUGGAUAGAGGACCCGAAUGAAAACAAAAACUUACAAGCAAGCCCUUCAGUUAUACAUUCAAGACCCAAUAAAAGAACUAAAAAUACAAUUAAGUCUUUAAUCUACACGCGAUCUCACCAGAACACCAUGGCCACCAUCUCCAACCACAGCCUUGCCAACACAAGGCAAGGAGAGAAGGGGCUAACUAGAGGUGUGCUUGUUAACGGUCGUGACAACUGAACACAUUUUUUCACCCGCAAAAAAAACUGAACACAUUUUACUAGCGGCGUGCUGCCUGUUUCGGCCGGGUUGGAACCAGCCCGUCCAUGAACAGAACAGAGAUGUGAACAUCACGCAUUCCACCAAAGAGGGAGGUAAAUAAAUUGCAGCAAAACGAGACCAAGCAAGUUUGAUAUCUGAUUGUAUUUGUAGAGCUAGAUCUCGAAAUAGCUGAAUAGUUCAAACUCUUUCCAAUCUCUCGAUGUACUGUGCGUAUCACCAUUGUGAGAAUGAGAAAAACAGGCACCUGAGUGCACUAGUUUUAUUUGGAUGAACAUGUAUAAACUUGUUAGAAUCAUCAGCUACACCACUACUGAGCUACACCACACUAUAAAUUAAGAUGACAACAUGCAUUUACAUUAUACAGGACUACACAGUGGAUGUCUGGAAACAUCAGCAUUGCCCAAUCAUGGACCAUAACUUACCACUGAGCUACUACAGAUAUGAGCUGUGAGUAAAAAUGGGUCGCCUCGGCCAACUCUAAUCAAGCUAUAGCAAAAAUACUCUGCCGCCUCUAAAACCAUAUUAUUAACUCUAUACUUCUAGGCAAUCGUCUGGUCUAUAACCUUCUCGCGCCUUUCACCAAAACAGCUGCUUUGUGCUAACAAUUCGAUGCCUUCAGGUGACAUCGAAAGUGCAGCAGAACUUAAGUAAUGUCUUGACUGACGACACCUGCAGCACACAAAGAGCAGCAGUCAGUGUUCGUUGGUUGACAUUUUGAACCCUGAU